Molecule: transfer RNA, 77 nt
Filed under: Candidatus Wolfebacteria bacterium CG_4_10_14_0_8_um_filter_37_11
Lineage: Bacteria; Candidatus Wolfeibacteriota
Also listed under: 2 other names
Description: tRNA-Arg
Rfam family: tRNA
About the family: Transfer RNA (tRNA) molecules are approximately 80 nucleotides in length. Their secondary structure includes four short double-helical elements and three loops (D, anti-codon, and T loops). Further hydrogen bonds mediate the characteristic L-shaped molecular structure. tRNAs have two regions of fundamental functional importance: the anti-codon, which is responsible for specific mRNA codon recognition, and the 3' end, to which the tRNAs corresponding amino acid is attached (by aminoacyl-tRNA synthetases). tRNAs cope with the degeneracy of the genetic code in two manners: having more than one tRNA (with a specific anti-codon) for a particular amino acid; and 'wobble' base-pairing, i.e. permitting non-standard base-pairing at the 3rd anti-codon position.
Source: RNAcentral
GUCCCCGUAGCUCAAUUGGAUAGAGUGUGUGGCUUCGAACCACAAGGUUGCAAGUUCGAGUCUUGCCGGGGACACAA